GACGAACGCUGGCGGCGUGCUUAACACAUGCAAGUCGAACGGUGAAGCGCCUUCCUUUUUGGUGGGUGUGGAUGAGUGGCGAACGGGUGAGUAACACGUGAGUAACCUGCCCCCUUCUUCUGGAUAACCGCAUGAAAGUGUGGCUAAUACGGGAUAUUCUGGGUCUGUCGCAUGAUGGGUCUGGGAAAGAUAUUGUUUCGGUGGGGGAUGGGCUCGCGGCCUAUCAGCUUGUUGGUGGGGUGAUGGCCUACCAAGGCGGUGACGGGUAGCCGGCCUGAGAGGAUGGACGGUCACACUGGGACGGAGACACGGCCAAGACUCCUACGGGAGGCAGCAGUGGAGAAUAUUGCACAAUGGGAGCAAGGCUGAUGCAGCGACGCCGCGGGAGGGAUGGAGGCCUUCGGGUUGUGAACCUCUUUCGCCAGUGAAGCAGGCCUGCCUCGUUUGUGGGUGGGUUGACGGUAGCUGGAUAAGAAGCGCCGGCUAACUACGUG
This 494-nucleotide ribosomal RNA is filed under the name uncultured bacterium. RNAcentral's name for it is "partial 16S ribosomal RNA". It matches the Rfam family "Bacterial small subunit ribosomal RNA", at positions 28 to 507 of the family's 1533-position model. The record is from RNAcentral.